CGUACGGGGAAGGAUGAGAAGCUUCGACUAAGGUUCGAUUCGAGCGCAGCGAGAAAGCGUUGCCGUAGGCAACGACCCGAAGGGCGAAGCGCGCAGCGCUGAGUAAUCCUUCCCCCGUCAUCC
RNAcentral lists this small RNA (123 nucleotides) under Salmonella enterica. RNAcentral's name for it is "partial RtT sRNA". It matches the Rfam family "RtT RNA". From Rfam's summary of the family: This family represents a bacterial cis-regulatory element known as RtT RNA. Lineage: Bacteria; Pseudomonadati; Pseudomonadota; Gammaproteobacteria; Enterobacterales; Enterobacteriaceae. The record is from RNAcentral.